RNAcentral lists this transfer RNA (91 nucleotides) under Pseudomonadota bacterium. RNAcentral describes it as "tRNA-Ser". It matches the Rfam family "tRNA". From Rfam's summary of the family: Transfer RNA (tRNA) molecules are approximately 80 nucleotides in length. Their secondary structure includes four short double-helical elements and three loops (D, anti-codon, and T loops). RNAcentral also lists the same sequence under 1 other name. Lineage: Bacteria; Pseudomonadati; Pseudomonadota. The record is from RNAcentral.
GGAGAGGUGGCAGAGCGGCCGAUUGUGCGCGAUUGGAAAUCGCGCGAUGCGGCACAAACCGCAUCCGUGGGUUCGAAUCCCACCCUCUCCG